RNAcentral lists this ribosomal RNA (253 nucleotides) under uncultured prokaryote. Its description in RNAcentral is "partial 16S ribosomal RNA". It matches the Rfam family "Bacterial small subunit ribosomal RNA", at positions 525 to 777 of the family's 1533-position model. The record is from RNAcentral.
ACGAACUGUGCAAACGUUAUUCGGAUUCACUGGGCUUAAAGGGUGCGUAGGCGGCCAUGUAAGUAGGGUGUGAAAUCCCCCGGCUUAACCGGGGAACUGCGCCCUAAACUGUGUGGCUUGAGUGAGAUAGGGGUGUGUGGAACUUCCGGUGGAGCGGUGAAAUGUGUUGAGAUCGGAAGGAACGCCCGUGGCGAAAGCGAGGUCCUGGACGCCUACUGACGCUGAGACGCGAAAGCCAGGGGAGCGAACGGGA